Paramuricea clavata is the source of this 86-nucleotide non-coding RNA. The record is from the annotation of a GenBank genome assembly. Lineage: Eukaryota; Metazoa; Cnidaria; Anthozoa; Malacalcyonacea; Plexauridae.
UAAAUAGUUUCGUACCACAGUAUGUGGCACUCUUCUUAGGUCAACUUAUCUGAAGAGUGCCACAUACUGUGGUACGAAACUAUUUA